RNAcentral lists this ribosomal RNA (497 nucleotides) under uncultured bacterium. Its description in RNAcentral is "partial 16S ribosomal RNA". It matches the Rfam family "Bacterial small subunit ribosomal RNA", at positions 28 to 507 of the family's 1533-position model. The record is from RNAcentral.
GAUGAACGCUGGCGGCGUGCCUAAUACAUGCAAGUCGAGCGAACAGACGAGGAGCUUGCUCCUCUGGCGUUAGCGGCGGACGGGUGGGUAACACGUGGAUAACCUACCUAUAAGACUGGGAUAACUUCGGGAAACCGGAGCUAAUACCGGAUAAUAUAUUGAACCGCAUGGUUCAAUAGUGAAAGACGGUUUUGCUGUCACUUAUAGAUGGAUCCGCGCCGCAUUAGCUAGUUGGUAAGGUAACGGCUUACCAAGGCAACGAUGCGUAGCCGACCUGAGAGGGUGAUCGGCCACACUGAAACUGAGACACGGUCCAGACUCCUACGGGAGGCAGCAGUAGGGAAUCUUCCGCAAUGGGCGAAAGCCUGACGGAGCAACGCCGCGUGAGUGAUGAAGGUCUUCGGAUCGUAAAACUCUGUUAUUAGGGAAGAACAAAUGUGUAAGUAACUAUGCACGUCUUGACGGUACCUAAUCAGAAAGCCACGGCUAACUACGUC